GCAUGGGUCUGGAUUUACGAUAGGCCCACCUCCCCACUCCCAGGACUCUCAUAGUGCCCUGCGCCAGAGUAAACUGUGGCCUUGAACCAUUGCUUGGCAUCUGCUGGUAGUCUGCGGGUACUGAAGCAGGUUGCAUAGUG
This is a small nucleolar RNA of Artibeus jamaicensis (Jamaican fruit-eating bat), 140 nucleotides long. RefSeq annotates it as small nucleolar RNA SNORA42/SNORA80 family. The record is from RefSeq and is a predicted model, not a curated record. Lineage: Eukaryota; Metazoa; Chordata; Mammalia; Chiroptera; Phyllostomidae. The transcript has a single exon.